Molecule: ribosomal RNA, 926 nt
Filed under: uncultured bacterium
Lineage: Bacteria
Description: bacterial SSU rRNA
Rfam family: Bacterial small subunit ribosomal RNA
Source: RNAcentral
ACGCUAGCUACAGGCUUAACACAUGCAAGUCGAGGGGAAACGGCAUUAAGUGCUUGCACUUUUUGGACGUCGACCGGCGCACGGGUGAGUAACGCGUAUCCAACCUUCCCAUGACUAAGGGAUAACCUGCCGAAAGGCAGACUAAUACCUUAUGGUCUUCACUGACGGCAUCAGAUGUGAAGUAAAGAUUUAUCGGUCAUGGAUGGGGAUGCGUCUGAUUAGCUUGUUGGCGGGGUAACGGCCCACCAAGGCAACGAUCAGUAGGGGUUCUGAGAGGAAGGUCCCCCACAUUGGAACUGAGACACGGUCCAAACUCCUACGGGAGGCAGCAGUGAGGAAUAUUGGUCAAUGGGCGAGAGCCUGAACCAGCCAAGUAGCGUGCAGGAUGACGGCCCUAUGGGUUGUAAACUGCUUUUGUAUGGGGAUAAAGUCAGUCACGUGUGAUUGUUUGCAGGUACCAUACGAAUAAGGACCGGCUAAUUCCGUGCCAGCAGCCGCGGUAAUACGGAAGGUCCGGGCGUUAUCCGGAUUUAUUGGGUUUAAAGGGAGCGUAGGCUGGAGAUUAAGUGUGUUGUGAAAUGUAGACGCUCAACGUCUGACUUGCAGCGCAUACUGGUUUCCUUGAGUACGCACAACGUUGGCGGAAUUCGUCGUGUAGCGGUGAAAUGCUUAGAUAUGACGAAGAACUCCGAUUGCGAAGGCAGCUGACGGGAGCGCAACUGACGCUGAAGCUCGAAGGUGCGGGUAUCGAACAGGAUUAGAUACCCUGGUAGUCCGCACAGUAAACGAUGGAUGCCCGCUGUUGGUACCUGGUAUCAGCGGCUAAGCGAAAGCAUUAAGCAUCCCACCUGGGGAGUACGCCGGCAACGGUGAAACUCAAAGGGAAUUGACGGGGGCCCGCACAAGCGGAGGAACAUGUGGUUUAA